CAAUUGACACUCUUGUUUAUGACGUCAGUAAUCACCCGAGGCUCUUGUCAUGAGCUGCCAAGGCUAUGGAAGCCUCUUGAGUUCACCAACUCCGAUCUUACUUAGACAAGGCCAUAGUCAAAGGGGAAGUUGGUAUUCUGUAUUUGCAGGUGUUUGGUGAUCCUGGGUCCUUGAGCAGUGGCCUUCAGAGGUUUGUCUUAGGCUUUCCCUUUCAUUCUUCAUGGUAGGGGAAGACAAAGGGUCCAGAAUGGACUAAUUUUCUUCCUUUCAGGUCACUAAAGGCCCUGACAAAGGAAUUUGUUUUGGAAGGUAGAAUUUUGUCAAGAAGAAUGCUCUGGAUUGUUUUAAAAUAUUUAGUUCCAACACCAACCCUUUCCCUCCUGAAACAUGUUUGUUUUUCUGUACUCUUCGCUGUGAACACUUGGUGGAGCAGUUGAAGCGAAAACUUAUGAAAGCUCUCGCUUCUCACAGACCAGCCAUUCCAAGAGCGAGGGCCCAUCCUGAACGCUUCUCCUUUGACUCACCUGUGACCUACCUCCCAUAGAGCCGCAGCACACCUGCUUUCCUCCAAGGCCUCAUCAAUUACCCCACUUGUGGGUGUGCCAGGAACUGGAAUGAAUUUGGAACAUCACAGGUGAAGAUCAAUGUAAAUCUCCUUGGCCAACUGUAGAGCACCAGGCAAAUAUAUGGGAUUUCACUUGACUAAAGGAGCAAAUUCCACAUUGAGAAGUCAGCUGAGAUUGGGCAAAUGACACUCUUCUAAACUAUAUGAAAGAAAGAGCAAUUAAUGGAAUACUUGAGUACAUUCAGCACACAGAUUAAAAUUACAUAGCACGGCGUUUGCCACGGAUCUUAAAACAGGCAGAACAAUUGAGGGCUAUUCUUAAUUUGAGAUCAUUUCAUACUUAAGGGCAUCAUCAAUGCUGAGAUGCAAACAGUAAGUAAUUCUCGAAUGCGUGAUUUUCAGUAGUUAUGGUAUGCCACUUUAGCUUGAUUUCAGACUGUGUGUGAAACCCGACACUACCAACAGGCUGCCGGGAAGAAAAAUGAAUGCAUGCUAAGUAAGCCUUGCACAGUUCACAGAACACUCGAGAGAAGGGUUUUGCUCAAGACUUUCUGAAAGCAGAAAUAUUGA
This is a non-coding RNA of Oryctolagus cuniculus (rabbit), 1135 nucleotides long. Lineage: Eukaryota; Metazoa; Chordata; Mammalia; Lagomorpha; Leporidae. The record is from RefSeq and is a predicted model, not a curated record.